RNAcentral lists this ribosomal RNA (253 nucleotides) under uncultured bacterium. RNAcentral's name for it is "partial 16S ribosomal RNA". It matches the Rfam family "Bacterial small subunit ribosomal RNA", at positions 524 to 776 of the family's 1533-position model. The record is from RNAcentral.
UACAGAGGGUGCAAGCGUUGUUCGGAAUUAUUGGGCGUAAAGCGCGUGUAGGCGGCUUGGCAAGUCGGGUGUGAAAUCCCCCAGCUUAACUGAGGAACUGCACGGGAAACUGCCUGGCUUGAGUUCGGGAGAGGGAAGCGGAAUUCCGGGUGUAGCGGUGAAAUGCGUAGAUAUCCGGAGGAACACCGGUGGCGAAGGCGGCUUCCUGGACCGACACUGACGCUGAGGCGCGAAAGCUAGGGGAGCAAACGGG